UGGGGAAUAUUGGACAAUGGGCGGAAGCCUGAUCCAGCUACGCCGCGUGAGUGAUGAAGGCCUUCGGGUUGUAAAGCUCUGUCGUAAGGGAAGAAGACUUCGGUUUGACGGUACCUUACAAGAAAGCACCGGCUAACUCCGUGCCAGCAGCCGCGGUAAUACGGAGGGUGCAAGCGUUGCUCGGAAUUACUGGGCGUAAAGCGAGCGCAGGCAGGCUAUUAAGCCAGAUGUGAAAGCCCAAGGCUCAACCUUGGAAUUGCAUCUGGAACUGGUGGCCUAGAGGAUAAGAGAGGGAAGUAGAAUUCCUGGUGUAGAGGUGAAAUUCGUUGAUAUCAGGAGGAAUACCUGUGGCGAAGGCGGCUUCCUGGCUUAUUUCUGACGCUGAGGCUCGAAAGCGUGGGUAGCGAACAGG
This 412-nucleotide ribosomal RNA is filed under the name uncultured bacterium. Its description in RNAcentral is "bacterial SSU rRNA". It matches the Rfam family "Bacterial small subunit ribosomal RNA", at positions 355 to 776 of the family's 1533-position model. The record is from RNAcentral.